AAGUCGUAACAAGGUUUCCGUAGGUGAACCUGCGGAAGGAUCAUUAACGAAUGGGGUUGGUGGUAGUGCUGGUGCUGGGUCUGAGAGCUGAAAGGCUCGAGGGCUGACUGAUCUGCCACUUUGCCUAUAGACCCACUCCUGCAAGGGAGCUGGCUGAGUGAUUGGGAGUUGGUGUUGAGUGAUGCUGGUGCAAAUCGGCGCUGUUCAACCUCACGCUCUCAACCACAUUAUAUAACCAUGAAUUCUGACAUUAAAAAUAAACUUUAACAAGGAUAACUUUUAACAAUGGAUCUCUUGGCUCCU
This 303-nucleotide unclassified non-coding RNA is filed under the name fungal sp. Its description in RNAcentral is "partial internal transcribed spacer region". The stretch from base 1 to 46 matches the Rfam family "Eukaryotic small subunit ribosomal RNA", at positions 1786 to 1831 of the family's 1831-position model. The record is from RNAcentral. Lineage: Eukaryota; Fungi.